CUCUCUCUCUCUCUCUCUCUCUCUCUCUCUCUCUCUCUCUUUUUGAUGACAAAGGUGGUUUUUGUCCUUGUACACAUCAUUGAAACAGGCAAGGACAGCAAGCAGCUAAGGGGGCAGAUAGACUGUCAGCCUUCGUCACAAACACAGAGCAGGAAUGUUUCGCUGCAAUCCCACCUGGGCCUGCUCGCCCCGUGAACCACAGAGGAGCCCUUUUAACAAAAAUGAACAGACUGCAACUCCUGCCCUCACUCCGCACUUACAGAAUGUCAUGCCAUAGGAGAGACAGUUUCUCACAGUGAUGGGAAGCGAGACAGAAAAAGGCUGACCUUUCUGUCCUUGGCCUCCUCCAUUGCCAGACUGAGGCCACAUGCAAACUGAGGAACAGUAUCUCAUACUCCACGGAUAGCUUACAACUCAAUGAAUCUCCUGCAGGUGCUGACUCAUCCCUAACACAGUGAUAGAGCUGCUGCCUCAUAGUGCACGAGACCCAGGGCCACGAACGAGGAAACCAUCACCCCAAAUGGAAUGCAAUGCAGAACCAAAGAUCCUAGAGGAGCAAGAUAGACCACUCUUCCGAAAUUCAAUGGGCUGACGUGUAGUACGUGACGGAACGUCACGGCCGCCAUUUUUCAAUGCGACACGCGACUUCCGGUAUGCCACCCGCUGUGAUCCAAAGCAAAGAUUAUAGAGCUCCGCUAUAAUCUUUGAUCCAAAGCAAAGAUCCUCGAGUAUCUUGUAGCGGGAACAGCCCCCUCCUUUGUGUAGUUUCCCUUGCAUUGUAUUGCUUUAACACACACUGCAAAAAAUUAAAUUUAACGUAUAUAUAUUUAAUAUAUUUAUAUGAAUGUGUGUCUGUGUGUGUGAGAGGCAAGUUAGAGAUAAUAAAGUUUAUUCUCAUGUAUCAGAAGCAACUUUGAUUUAAAUCAUCACUAUUAAUUUAUUUGUCUUGUAAGAUGAUAUACAUAAACCAUAAAGGCAAUUAUAUAUAUAAUUAUAUAGUAAUAAUAAAUAUAUGCAUAUAUAUAUAUUUAUACACACACAUAUAUACACACAUACACAUACAUAUGCACACAUACAAAUGCACAUACAUAUUGAUACAUUUAUAUGCAUACAUAUAUACACAUAUAUAAACAUAUAUAUAUAUAUAUACACAUACAUAUAUACACACAUAUACAUGCAUAUAUACACAUACAUGCAUAUAUACACAUACAUAUAUAUUUAUAUAUAUUAUCAUUUUCCAACGAUCAAUAGAUUUACGAUCAGCUCCUGUGGAUUGGAUGAUAGCUAAUGCUAUCCCACUUUUCAAGAAAGGAGCGUGAGAGAAAACGGGAAAUUACAGACCAGUUAGCCCGACUUUGGUGGUGUGAAAGAUGCUGGAGUCAAUUAUUAAAGAUGCAAUAAUGGGGCAUUUGGAUAGCAGUAAAAGGAUCUGUCCAAGUCAACAUGGAUUUAUGAAAGGGAAAUCAUGUUUGACUAAUCUUCUGGAUUUUGUUGACACAAGGCUUGGUGUUGGGGCUGCAACUGUUUACCAUAUAUAUUAAUGAUUUGGAAAAGGGAAAUAGGAGCAAAACUAAUGCAUACAUACCUACAUAUUUAAAUUCAUCUGAUAAGUUGGUCAAAUAACAUGGGCACCUUCUUGCUUUUUUUGAGACAUGGAUUUUUUAAAUGUGAAUGUCUCAUAGCAACACAUUUGUGGGUCAACAGUAUUUUGUACCAACCCCCACAAUUUCAAAUAAUUCUAAAUAGAACUUCUUAAACAAGGAAAACAAUUUUUAUUUACAUCAUUUUGUGUGGCUGUCAAGGUAGCUGUGUUGACUGUAAUUAUGAGACUGCCGGGCAGUAUCACUGUGAAUGGUGGUGGCUGUGUGUUUUAAUGCAAGUGUGAAAAGGAUAGUCAAUUUAAAGAGACAAUGUGAGAACCAUCAGGGUUUCAUCCAGGAACCAAUUUAAAGGCAAGUUUCCAUCAAUUACAGUAUUUUAAUUGAAAAUCUUACUCUUAAUAUUCUUCCUAAUUUAGGCUUUUUGUGUUCCCUCUUGAACCUUGUGUCUCCCAGAGCCUCUGGGGAGGUUCUGGAGAUACAAUCACCCAAUCUUGAGGCAAAUAACCAUCUUUAAAACUGGCAUUGCCUCUGCCUUUAAUUCUACAUUCUCCGAGGAUGCUGGAUGCCGCGACAAUCUCUUGCAACAAGUACAGAAAGGCAGUCAGCUGCAAAAAGAUCAAAGAGAGGAAAGAGUAUGGAAGGGAAAGGCUUUUCAGAAUCAUAAUCAGAUUUUAUUUUCCAAGUAUGUUUUGCAAUAUACGAGGAAUUUCAUUGGCCAGGUCAGUCAUACAAUUAAAAGCAACAGCACUCAAAAACACAUUUUAAUACGGACAUUCACCAAAGUGACUCCUACACAUUCCUCACUGUGAUGGAAGGCGAAAUAAAGUUCAAGUCCCUUCCUUUUGUUCUUCCUCGGUCGGGGGCCUCAAGCCCCCCGUUCAAACUCCGUUCAAUGGUGAACUCCUCUUGGUCUCCAGGCCUAUAGUGCUGCACAAAUCACUGCACCACAUGCAUCUAUUUAUUCAUUUUUCACAUGGUUCAUAUGCAGCUGGAUAUUAACUUGCUGACAUGGAAAGAGAUGCAGUGAGCAUUCAAUAGUUCAGACU
Molecule: long non-coding RNA, 2647 nt
Organism: Leucoraja erinaceus (little skate)
Lineage: Eukaryota; Metazoa; Chordata; Chondrichthyes; Rajiformes; Rajidae
Exons: 5
Source: RefSeq, a predicted model, not a curated record